Molecule: RNA transcript, 3559 nt
Organism: Trifolium pratense (red clover)
Lineage: Eukaryota; Viridiplantae; Streptophyta; Magnoliopsida; Fabales; Fabaceae
Gene name: reticulocalbin-2-like
Exons: 7
Source: RefSeq, a predicted model, not a curated record
CAUUUUACAUGCCCGGAGAGAGUAUAUACUACAAAAUUGGAAUCUAAAAAAUUUGGAAGAAUUGGAAUUCAUAUUCUUAUACCGAAGCCAAUGGGAAGAAUCUCCAUUUUUGUUUGCACAAUCGCAGUAAUAUUCAUAUUUUUUCUUCUCUCCCGCUCAUCCAACAACAACCACCGUCCCAUCCACCGCCGCCUCCGCUCAAACUCCACACACUCUGCCGAGUCCUACGAUGACAAGUUCAAUCUCACCAACAGGAUCGUCCGUCUCUUCCCUGAAAUCGAUGUGGAUCCCACCGAUUGGUUCGUAUCUCUCCAUGAAUUGACUCAGUGGAACCUUCAACAAGCUCAGAGGGAGUUCUUGCAUCGAAGCCAGAGGGAGAUGGUUAUUCACGAUAAGAAUCACGACGGAUUCGUUUCAUUCUCUGAAUAUGCUCCUCCUUCCACUUGGUUUCAUCAUGCAGAUGGUGAUUCUUUUGGUUAUGAUACGAGUUGGUGGAAAGAAGAGCAUUUUAAUGCAUCGGAUAUAGACGGAAAUGGUCUUCUAAACUUAACUGAGUUCAAUGACUUUCUUCACCCGGCUGACAGCAAGAACCCCAAUCUUCGACAAUGGCUGUGCAAGGCUGAAGUCAGAGAAAGAGAUAUGGACAGAGAUGGGAAGGUCAAUUUUAAAGAAUUUUUCCACGGGCUGUUUGAUUUGGUACGAAACUAUGAUGAAGGAAGUUACAAUGAUUCACGUCAUUUUGACGAUUCAAUGGAUGCUUCAGCUAGAGUGUUGUUUUCUCAGCUUGACAAAGAUGGAGAUGGAUAUUUGUCAGAUAUUGAACUCCUGCCUAUAAUUGGGAAACUCCAUCCAUCUGGGCAUCAUUAUGCAAAGCAACAAGCAGAAGAUAUAAUUUCACAGCUUGGGCGCUGUGAGUAUGGAAAUUCACUCUUUGGGAGAGAAGACCCUUUAAUGUGUUCCAGAUCUUCGAAGGAAUUAGUUUCUUCAGUUGCACGGGGAGAAUAUCCCAAGAAACCAAAAGAAUUAUGUCACAAGUUAAAAUGAUAACUGUGCAAAAGGUACAGUCAAAUAAGCAGUGUUUGCUUUAACUGUGAAAUCGUGUUCUGAGGCAUUUCUUGGUGAAAGCUAUCUCUACUACCUUGACACGGACGCAUGUUUGACAAGGAAUGGACAUUCUUCUAAACACUCAGUAAGAUGUGUACGAGUGAGAAAGCGACUGUAUGAAGUUUCAAUGUGAACAAGUAACUUAACGAGUGCCUGUGUGAAACAUCAAAUUUCUAAAGAAUGAAAGUAUAGCAAUGAAAUGAUUAAACAAUGUGUAUUUGGUAGCACUACUUUAGUUUCUUUUCAAUCUUCAUUUAACAAUUUAUGCUUGAGUUGUAAUUUAUGUUAUGAGAAUUGGUGAAAGAAAAAUGAAACUGGAACAAAACAUAACAAAUUGAAUCUUGCUAUUCAUAAUGGUUUUAUGAAUAGAACUGGUUGAUACAUAUAGUCAUUGAAGAGGCGCUAACUUCACAUCCCAUUCUCCUUGCUUGUGAUCUCUUGAAUUCCCUUUCUGCGUUGUUCUCUGCUAUGAAAUCUCCUUGUUCUACUGUGCAUCCUAGUAAUGGUCGAGCAUUUAUCACAUUUAUUAUAUGCUAUAGUGUGUUUUUGUGAUUUCUUAAACAAAUUAACAAGAUGUUUUCGUUAGGCAACAUAUCUGAACCAAUAAUGUUGAUGUCAUUUAGUUGACAAAGCUGAUAAGAUUUUUAUACCUUGGUGAUGUCUCUGAGGGCUAUUCUUCAUCUGUGACACAUCUAUGCAAGAGCAGUAAUAAUGUCUCUUACUACAGUCAUGUGGAUUGAUAGCUGCACAAUAGGAUACAAAUAACAUACCGUGUUAGGUUCCUGUCUAUGGGAAAUCAGUGACCGAAAAUUUCGUUCCCAACAAAUAUGGCCUCCUAUGUCGGAAGGUUAAGACUAAGGCCAUUGAUUCUUUCUCUUGUACUGAUUUAGUAAGAGAGGAACCGGCUAAACUCAUGCCGUAGUAAGCUAUAGGCUUCUGAUUUUUGGACAAAACUGCACCUAUCCCUUUGUCCAAAGCAUCACAGUCGAGGGUGAAAGGUUGGGAAAAAUCGGGAAUAGCUAGUAGAACAGUAGCUGUGGCAACAGCCUGCUGCUAACUUCUGAAUGCCUCCAAAUUGUUAUUGUUCCGCAGACAAUUUCCUUUCUUCAACAGGUUUGUCGAUGGCCUUGCUAUUUAGUGUAGAAUUCAUUAGACAUUGGAAUGUUGCAAGAGCAUUUGUAAGUCCAAAAGGAAGCACCUCCUCGUGCAUUCUGAUUUGGUGGAUACCCAACUUUUAAAUCAACUCUUGAAAAAUAGGAAGCACCUAUAACUGAUCCAACAAUUCCUCAGUGACCCGUUUGGGAAACUUGGCAGGAACUGUAGCUUUCUUCAAAGCUCUGUAAACUACUAAAAAGCGCCAACGUCCAUCCUUUUUCUUCACCAAGGCCAUAGGACUAGAAAAAGGGCUAAUACUAGGACAAUGAUACCUAUAUGACCAGUCUUUCUGUUUAUGGAGGGUUUAUAUCCUCAUGCUAGAUUUACAUGUUAGGGGGUCUCUUAACUAGAUGCAGUUGCGUAACACCUCAUUAAGCAUAAUAUUGUUAUGAGAAGUAGAUUGUUUUGUCAAAGAUUGCUCAACGAGCACUCCGAGUCGACUUCUGUUGGAUAACAUCAUUCAUUAAUUUCAUUAAUAACCAUUGCAUAAUGUUGUGACAGGCAGAAAUUGACGAAGAUGGACGUCUUACACUGAGUGAGAUGAUUGAGAAUCCAUAUCCAUUUUAUAGUGCUAUUUUCAAUAAUGAUAAAGAUGAAAUAGGAUGAUUCACAUGACGAGUUAUGUGAAAUUAAUGCUAGGAUAUGCAGAAAAAGUUGGGACAGUAGUAAUGGAAAAGUGACGAGUUAUGUUGUAAAUAAUGUAUAUUUGUAAUUAUUUAUAAUAAUUGUACUCGGCCCAUUUAUCAUUCAUGCUCUAGGUGUAAGCGGUUCCGUCAAAACCGAUCAAUCCGACAAAUUAAUCCAACCUAAAAAUGACUGGUUUUGUUUGGUUUGGAACAAAAACUGAACCGAACUGAAGAAAACCAAAUUGGUUCUGUUUGGUUCUCAGUUUUUAAUUUUAAAAUAAAAACAGGUGAACCAAACCGAACCUCUUACUAAUACUAUUUUAGUCUAGGGCCGGAUCCAAAAGUGACCCACCCUCAAGUUGGAAGGAAAUGAAUUGGAAUUUUAGUUUAGAUGUAUUUGUAAUUUGAGAUUAAUUUAAUUUCAGGAUGGUGAACUAUCAUCAUUUUAGUUUGUAUUUGGAAUUCAUUUUGGAUGUAUUUGUAAUUUGAGAUCUAAAGUUGUGUCUUAUGGUUUGCAAUGUUGAGGGUAUGCAAUGUUUCUGCAAUUAUAGCUGUUGUGCUGGUCCCUUUAUUACAGUGUUCAGGGGACUCUACUAUUAUUUGAAGACUUUUUCUUUGUUAUCUUCAGCAAGAAACGGUCACAUGACAUCAAUAAAUAUAUCAGAUGAUAGAUA